CCUACGGGAGGCAGCAGUAGGGAAUCUUUCACAAUGGGCGAAAGCCUGAUGGAGCAACGCCGCGUGCAGGAAGAAGGCCUUCGGGUUGUAAACUGCUUUUAUAAGCGAGAAAGAUGAUGGUAACUAAGGAAUAAGGAUCGGCUAACGACGAGCCAGAAGCCGCGGUCAUACGAAGGAACCGAGCAUUCGCCGGAGGGACUGGGGGUCAAGAGUUGCGUAGGUGGCAUAAUAAGUAGCUAGUGAAAUCUGGUGGCUCAACCAUUCAGACUAUUAGCGAAACUGUUAAGCUCGAGACCGUUAGGGGCAUCUGGCAUUUCUAGUGUAGGCGUGCAAUCCGUAGAUAUUCG
Molecule: ribosomal RNA, 347 nt
Filed under: uncultured bacterium
Lineage: Bacteria
Description: partial 16S ribosomal RNA
Rfam family: Bacterial small subunit ribosomal RNA
Source: RNAcentral